GUACCCUAGAACUUAAAGUAUAAUAAAAAUAUAUAUAUAUUAAAAAUUAGGCCCUAUGGUGUUAAAAAUAUGAAUGUACAACUAUCAAUUAGGGUCUAUCAGGGAAACAAAAUCAGUAUGGGUAUCCUGGGCUGAAAAUUUUAUUUUAGGCAUUAGAUACCAUGCAGUUAUGGUAAAGACCUCUCCGGAAAGCUAAUGCUUCUGUGUCUGGUGGUAGGCCUUAAGUCACUGUGAGUCAGUUGGGCUGGCAGUCAGGAAGGAAAGCUGGGUAUGAAGCGGGAGAGAGCGAAGACAAGCCGGACUCAUGAAGACAAGCUGGACUCAUGAAGACUCAUGAAGACAAACCAAAAUUUGCAUCUAGCUCUCACCACCUCCAAACUCCAUAGUGUGGGUGACCUAAAAACAAAGCUGGCACCCUUCCUCAUGGCAUUGCAUGUGCAUCUGACCCAGGACUCAGAUGAGCUGAAGGAAGAGAUCUCAUGGGAGCUGGAGGACUGUGGGCUAGCUACUGCCCACACCAACAGAGUGAGCCAGGAGAUGAGGCUGGGAGCUGCAGCGGCACCUGUUGCCUGCUCCUUCUGAGCUUAGUGACUGUGCAUCACUUCCACUUUCCAAAUCUCGUGAAAAUAUCUCCUGUGGUCAUAUCUAAUGUGUAACUCUAUGAGUAAGGGAAUUCUAAGAAAUUCUGUAGUUCCGGGUUAGCUAGUUAUAUAGUUCAGAACCUCUCCACUGGAGUAGACCUCAGUAGUGAUACCCCUUUGCCUAGUUUAUGCACAGAAGUCACGCUUCUCAGCACCCAUUGCAACUGAGUGGCAACACAUGGCUACUUCUCACCAAUGGAUUGUGAGGCCAGCUGACAAUCUGAGGCUUCAAAAGCCCCUAUACAGCUCUCAGUUCUUUUCCUGCCACAUCAAUCAUGGAGGCCAAGACGGAACCACCCUAAAUCCCUGAGAUUUAAAUCUCUGAAUCUUUGAAGGGAACUACCCUGGAGAACCUUGAGACCCACAGCAGAAUUGUGAGAAGUCAUCAGCCUGCAACCCAGAAGAGGACCUUCACCAGGAACCGUAUCAGCUGACACCGUGAUCUUGGACUUCUCAGCCUCCAGAACUAUGAAGAUAGGAACACUACUCACCACAUACAAUGGAUGUGAAGUUAAGUAAGUUACUGCAGUCAUAGAAGAGGUACCACCUGCAAUGAUGACUUCACCUAUCCACAUCAUCAGUUCUCCUGUCUAUUGGUUCAUUCCCCCUAGCAUACAUAUGUUGUACUCGCCCCUUUAAAAAGAAUCUGCGAUCCUACAUCCUCCUUCAGUUGUGACCUUAUUCUCUUUCUCUCAUUUACGUCAAAACUCCUGGAAAACAGAGAGUAGAAGGAUGAUUACCAGA
RNAcentral lists this long non-coding RNA (1385 nucleotides) under Homo sapiens (human). RNAcentral's name for it is "HSALNT0367312". The record is from RNAcentral. Lineage: Eukaryota; Metazoa; Chordata; Mammalia; Primates; Hominidae.